Molecule: ribosomal RNA, 253 nt
Filed under: uncultured bacterium
Lineage: Bacteria
Description: partial 16S ribosomal RNA
Rfam family: Bacterial small subunit ribosomal RNA
Source: RNAcentral
UACAGAGGUGGCAAGCGUUGUUCGGAAUUACUGGGCGUAAAGGGCGUGUAGGCGGGAAGGAAAGUCAGAUGUGAAAUCCCCAGGCUCAACCUGGGAACUGCAUUUGAAACUCCCUUUCUUGAGUACCGGAGAGGAAAGUGGAAUUCCUGGUGCAGAGGUGAAAUUCGUAGAUAUCAGGAGGAACACCAGUGGCGAAGGCGGCUUUCUGGACGGUAACUGACGCUGAGGCGCGAAAGCGUGGGGAGCAAACAGG